Hemibagrus wyckioides is the source of this 605-nucleotide long non-coding RNA. RefSeq lists it as uncharacterized. The record is from RefSeq and is a predicted model, not a curated record. The transcript has 3 exons. NCBI's taxonomy places the organism in Eukaryota, Metazoa, Chordata, Actinopteri, Siluriformes, Bagridae.
CAAGAAACAAGUGGUACACAAGCCCAUUGUUUCACUCUCAGUGAAACAUGGUGGUGGCAGCAUCACGCUUCAAGUCAUCACUGACCUCAUGGCUGCUAUGUGCUGUUGUGGCAUUUAAACAUUUAUGGUGUCUGGAGCUCUGUCAGCUGCUACAGCGAUCCACCCGAACUCCUCCUCUGUGGUAUGGAAACAUGACGUUCUCUUCAUUUCUUUAUACUGUAUUUAUUAGUUAUUUUUUAUUCAUGAAGGAAACGUCCUGGAUUUAAUGUGACUGUUUCCACUCUGAUUAGUUAAAAGCCUCACAAAUAAUGAAUGUCUUGAGUUCUGUGGCUGCAGCCAUCAUCAUCAUCAUGUUCUCAAUCUUCAUAAUAUUUGUGACUGAAUGCAGGUAUUACUAUCAUAGUGAUGUCAGCUAUACUGAUGUCACACUGUGUAACAUCACAGAUUCUGUUUCAGCUCCCAGGAACCACCAGCAACCACCAACACUCCCAUUCUCGUAGUCACCAGCCUCCUGAUUAUGAUCUGUGUUUAAUUAUAUACACAUAUAUGUUUGGUUUGCACUCUUUUGACCACCUCAGUUUCAGUUCCUCGUUGCGAUGUAUACG